CGGGGCGCCCCUGAAGCGGGCAGGCGGGCACCGCCCUGGGCCCGGGCACGCCCUCUCAGGGGUGGGCGGGUCUGGCGUGUGGCGUCAUCUCGCGAGUGGGCGGGGCGCCCAUGAAGCCGCACGGCGGGCACCGCCCUGGGCCUGGGUACGCCCCCUCGAGGGCGGGCGGGGCCGUCUAUGACGUCAUCCCGCGGUGGGCAGUACAGCCCUGGGGCACGUCCUUUCAGGGGUGGGCGGGCUCUGGCCGCCGGCUGGCAGUUGGGACGUGAGGCGGGCAAGGGGGACGCUCGGGAGCGGCUGGCGGAGGUGGUGGUGGCUUCCGAGCGCUGCCGGUGUGCGGGCCUGCUCCGUCACCCGCCUCUGGGCCUGGGCCGACGGGUGUGUCGGCCGGGGCGUCGGGCGGUGCUGGCCCCGGCCGGGGUCACCCGGGCCUGCGGGCUCCCGCGGAAGGGGAGGUGACGCUCCGCGGGCCUUGCACUUGCCGAGUGCUAGGAAGGCGCUGUUCCGUGCACUGUCGCGGUCGUUUAACGACGACGGGGACAUGUCCAAGGAAGCGCUGCUGAGCGGCUUCACGGUUGUGCGACCGUCGCAGUGCACGCGGGCACACAGCCGGGCCGCGGCCCUAGUCUCGCGGGAGCACCGUGGACGUGCCGCCCGUCGUUAACCGAGACGUCGUUAGGCGGCGCAGGCUGCCUUCAAGGUGUUAGCGCGCGCGCGCGCGCGCACUCCGUCGCGAGUGGUGCGCAGAGGGCGCUGCGUGGGAGGUACCGCUCUGCUGCUCCGGACUCUGAGCUGCCUUAGGGAUGGGAAAGCCCCAGCAGGAUAGGCCUUCCUAUGCGUAUAUGAAAUGAAAGCGUUUCGGCUCAAAUAACGUUCCCCAGGGGGCGCCCAGCAGGUGUCCUCAGCAGGAUGCCAACCACUUCUCUGAAAGGUGCCCGCAUCCCGCUGACUCGCCGUUAACGGUGCUAGGCUAGACCAUGCUUGUGAUUUCUGGGAAGCAAGACAGCUCUUGAUCACUAUGAUUCGGCGGACUCAAAUCAGGAUAAUUCCUAAGUGUUUUUGGGCGUAUUCAGUGAGUUCCAAGGAAGUUUUAAUUGUAACAAUAAGGAGCUGCAGUGACAGAGCCUCGUGUCUUCAGGACAAAACAGCCAUAUCCCACAGGCCACUUUGCUGUGCAGAUAGGAGGACAAAAGCCUGUAAGAAGAAGAGGACUGCCAACCAAAGACUAAACUGCAAUCACAGCCCUGUUCGAGGCACUGAAUAAAAGACUUGCUGCUAGCGUGAACUUUUCCAGUCGGCGGAGCAUUUACAUGCAUUGGUGACUUUGCCAAGUUCUCAUUAGUAAUUCAAGUAGGCUUAAGUUCGGUGAGGGCAAGAACCACAUUUAUUGUGUCUAUCGUCAUAUCCUCAGGCUAGCAUAGUGCCUGCUGCAACGUGAAUGAAUAAACCACACCUCUUUCCUCCUC
Molecule: long non-coding RNA, 1466 nt
Organism: Equus caballus (horse)
Lineage: Eukaryota; Metazoa; Chordata; Mammalia; Perissodactyla; Equidae
Source: RefSeq, a predicted model, not a curated record